UUUCCGUAGGUGAACCUGCGGAAGGAUCAUUAUUGAAUAAACCUGAUGUGACUGUUAGCUGGCUUUUCGAAGCAUGUGCUCGUCCAUCAUCUUUAAUCUCUCCACCUGUGCACAUUUUGUAGUCUUGGAUACCUCUCGAGGCAACUCGGAUUUUAGGAUCGCCGUGCUGCACAAGUCGGCUUUCCUUUCAUUUCCAAGACUAUGUUUUUAUAUACACCAAAGUAUGUUUAAAGAAUGUCAUCAAUAGGAACUUGUCUCCUAUAAAAUUAUACAACUUUCAGCAACGGAUCUCUUGGCUCUC
RNAcentral lists this unclassified non-coding RNA (301 nucleotides) under plant metagenome. Its description in RNAcentral is "partial contains small subunit ribosomal RNA, internal transcribed spacer 1, and 5.8S ribosomal RNA". The record is from RNAcentral.